AAUAUUGCACAAUGGGCGCAAGCCUGAUGCAGCCAUGCCGCGUGUAUGAAGAAGGCCUUCGGGUUGUAAAGUACUUUCAGCGAGGAGGAAGGCAUUAAGGUUAAUAACCUUAGUGAUUGACGUUACUCGCAGAAGAAGCAACGGCCAACUCCGUGCCAGCAGCCGCGGUAAUACGGAGGGUGCAAGCGUUAAGCGGAAUUACUGGGCGUAAAGCGCACGCAGGCGGUCUGUCAAGUCGGAUGUGAAAUCCCCGGGCUCAACCUGGGAACUGCAUCCGAAACUGGCAGGCUAGAGUCUUGUAGAGGGGGGUAGAAUUCCAGGUGUAGCGGUGAAAUGCGUAGAGAUCUGGAGGAAUACCGGUGGCGAAGGCGGCCCCCUGGACAAAGACUGACGCUCAGGUGCGAAAGCGUGGGGAGCAAAC
Molecule: ribosomal RNA, 421 nt
Filed under: uncultured bacterium
Lineage: Bacteria
Description: partial 16S ribosomal RNA
Rfam family: Bacterial small subunit ribosomal RNA
Source: RNAcentral